RNAcentral lists this ribosomal RNA (159 nucleotides) under Dioscorea polystachya (Chinese yam). RNAcentral's name for it is "5.8S ribosomal RNA". It matches the Rfam family "5.8S ribosomal RNA". From Rfam's summary of the family: 5.8S ribosomal RNA (5.8S rRNA) is a component of the large subunit of the eukaryotic ribosome. It is transcribed by RNA polymerase I as part of the 45S precursor that also contains 18S and 28S rRNA. Functionally, it is thought that 5.8S rRNA may be involved in ribosome translocation. The record is from RNAcentral. Lineage: Eukaryota; Viridiplantae; Streptophyta; Magnoliopsida; Dioscoreales; Dioscoreaceae.
AACUUUCAACAACGGAUCUCUUGGUUCUGGCAUCGAUGAAGAACGCAGCAAAAUGCGAUAAGUGAUGUGAAUUGCAGAAUUCAGUGAAUCAUCGAAUCUUUGAACGCACAUUGCGCCCGCCAGUAUUCUGGCGGGCAUGCCUGUUCGAGCGUCAUUUCA